Molecule: ribosomal RNA, 274 nt
Filed under: uncultured bacterium
Lineage: Bacteria
Description: partial 16S ribosomal RNA
Rfam family: Bacterial small subunit ribosomal RNA
Source: RNAcentral
AUACGAAGGGGGCUAGCGUUGUUCGGAAUUACUGGGCGUAAAGCGCGCGUAGGCGGAUUGGUCAGUUAGGGGUGAAAUCCCAGGGCUUAACCCUGGAACUGCCUCUAAUACUGCCAGUCUUGAGUUCGGGAGAGGUGAGUGGAAUUCCUAGUGUAGAGGUUAAAUUCGUAGAUAUUAGGAAGAACACCAGUGGCGAAGGCGGCUCACUGGCCCGAUACUGACGCUGAGGCGCGAAAGCGUGGGGAGCAAACAGGAUUAGAAACCCUAGUAGUCC